CUUCAAUGGAAUUCCACCAUUUUUUUCACAUGGUUUAAGAAUCAUAUGACUCAUUUCUUUUGAUCCUAAAAGCGGGCAUAUAGAACGUUUCCAACCCCGAAAGGACCACCAAUGCUUUGAAGCAGAGAGGUCCAGUGCAAACAUAUGUCACAAUGAAGCUGACUGCUGAUAAAGGGCAAUGACAUCAACAGCUUCUCUUGCACUGAGAUAAUCUUCUAUAACAGCCAAGCAGCUGCAAAACAGAGCCGAAGGUCCCAUCGAGCUGCCCAUGCAGAAGCCUGAAGAUAAAUACCCAUGGCUGCAAACAGCAACUACUGCAGGGCAAUAAUCAUAAAUCCUCUACUGCUGCCAGUAACGACAUUUAGCGAUCUCAUCCACUGAAAGGAAAUGCAAAAA
This is a long non-coding RNA of Osmerus eperlanus (European smelt), 396 nucleotides long. RefSeq lists it as uncharacterized. The record is from RefSeq and is a predicted model, not a curated record. NCBI's taxonomy places the organism in Eukaryota, Metazoa, Chordata, Actinopteri, Osmeriformes, Osmeridae. The transcript has 3 exons.